UAAGGAAUAUUGGGCAAUGGACGCAAGUCUGACCCAGCCAUGCCGCGUGGAGGAUGAAGGUCCUCUGGAUUGUAAACUUCUUUUAUUUGGGAAGAAACCCACGAUUUCUAUUGUGGUUGACGGUACCAGAUGAAUAAGCACCGGCUAACUCCGUGCCAGCAGCCGCGGUAAUACGGAUGGUGCAAGCGUUAUCCGGAUUCACUGGGUUUAAAGGGUGCGUAGGUGGGUUAGUAAGUCCGUGGUGAAAUCCCUGAGCUUAACUCAGGAACUGCCGUGGAUACUAUCACUCUUGAAUGCUGUGGAGGUAAGCGGAAUAUGUCAUGUAGCGGUGAAAUGCUUAGAUAUGACAUAGAACACCAAUUGCGAAGGCAGCUUGCUACACGGUUAUUGACACUGAGGCACGAAAGCGUGGGGAUCAAACAG
This 423-nucleotide ribosomal RNA is filed under the name uncultured bacterium. RNAcentral describes it as "bacterial SSU rRNA". It matches the Rfam family "Bacterial small subunit ribosomal RNA", at positions 355 to 775 of the family's 1533-position model. The record is from RNAcentral.